UCACCUGUUUAUCAAAAACAUGUCUUAAUGAAAAAUAAUUUUAAGUCUAAUCUGCUCAAUGAAUAAUUUUAAAUAGCUGCAGUAUAAAUAACUGUACAAAGGUAGCAUAAUAAUUUGUUUUUUAAUUGAAAACUAGAAUGAAUGAUUAAAUGAAAUAUAAACUAUAUCAAAUUUAAAAAAUAAAUUUAUUAUUUAAAUAAAAAAAUUUAAAUAAUUUUUAAAGACGAGAAGACCCUAAAGAAUUUUAAUAAUAAAUUAUAAUAUAAAUUUAAAAUUUAUUAUAUUAAUUGGGGAAAUUUUAAAAUUUAAAAAAUUUUUAAUUAAAUAAACAUAAAUUUUUGAAUAUUUAAAAUUUUUUUAAAAAAUGAAAUUAAAUUACCUUAGGGAUACCAGCAUAAUUUUUUUAAAAAGUUCAAAUUUAUAAAAAAGUUUAUGACCUCGAUGUUGAAUUAAGAUUAAAUUUAAUAGAAAAUUAUUAAAAAUUUAAGUCUGUU
RNAcentral lists this ribosomal RNA (494 nucleotides) under Cotesia chilonis. Its description in RNAcentral is "partial 16S ribosomal RNA". The record is from RNAcentral. Lineage: Eukaryota; Metazoa; Arthropoda; Insecta; Hymenoptera; Braconidae.